AAGUCGUAACAAGGUUUCCGUAGGUGAACCUGCGGAAGGAUCAUGUAAACGUUCUUUUGAAAGAAUGGGUGCGGAUGUGUGGCACUUUAUUGGGCUGCACAGACGCCCCGUUCUCCAAACCCAUCGCGAACUGGAUUUCGUAGCAGACAAGGAGGGGACGACGGAAGUGCGGUAUGGUGUGGGGGAUUCUCUCUCGCCUACUACUGCACGUUCGUUUUACCUUUCUUCUGCGCACAUUUUUUUCUCAAAACCACUUUUUUCACAAAAUUUCAACGUAACGAACAUGUGUUGGAACGCAAAAGAAAAAGGGAAACGUAAAAAUUUCCUUCUUUUUUUUUCUCCGACCGCAUAUCAAUUUAUCAACUGCAAAAGAGAUAAAGAACAACUCUUAGCAACGGAUAUCUUGGUUCCC
RNAcentral lists this unclassified non-coding RNA (412 nucleotides) under fungal sp. RNAcentral describes it as "partial internal transcribed spacer region". The stretch from base 1 to 46 matches the Rfam family "Eukaryotic small subunit ribosomal RNA", at positions 1786 to 1831 of the family's 1831-position model. Lineage: Eukaryota; Fungi. The record is from RNAcentral.